This 67-nucleotide transfer RNA is filed under the name Marmota monax (woodchuck). RNAcentral's name for it is "tRNA.Gly". Lineage: Eukaryota; Metazoa; Chordata; Mammalia; Rodentia; Sciuridae. The record is from RNAcentral.
GGUUGUAGCUCAGUGGUAGAGUGCUAGCCUCCCACCUGUGAGGCCCUGAGUUGGAUCCUCAGCACCA